ACUGGUUCACAAUAACGUCUUGUUUUAGUUGAACGUAGAAAGUGAAGAAAUCACAUUACAAUAUAUUACAAAAUUAAUGUCAUACACUGCCAAUUACAUAAGCAUCACUCAAUCCAUAUAUCUUCACACCCAUCUCGAAUAUUUUGACCGCCUAACUCACCCACCAGUUCAUCAAAUGUGUCAACAUUUGGCAUCCCUCUAGUAAAUGGCUCACACUCAAUUAUCACAUCACCUAAGACUUC
This 242-nucleotide long non-coding RNA is filed under the name Prunus persica (peach). Its description in RNAcentral is "long non-coding RNA (PPER_LNC008256)". The record is from RNAcentral. Lineage: Eukaryota; Viridiplantae; Streptophyta; Magnoliopsida; Rosales; Rosaceae.